CUCCACCUCCUUUUCAGCCUGGUCCCCAUUGGAACAUACUCCAUCAACUCACACACCUCCUUUUCAGCCUGGUCCCCAUAGGAACAGACUCCACCCCCUCACACACCACCUUUUCAGCCUGGUCCCCAUAGGAACAUACUCCACCCCCUCUUCAGCCUGGUCCCCAUAGGAACAGACUCCACCCCCUCUUCAGCCUGGUCCCCAUAGGAACAGACUCCACCCCCUCACGCACUGCCUUUUCAGCCUGGUCCCCAUAGGAACAGACUCC
This is a long non-coding RNA of Oncorhynchus tshawytscha (Chinook salmon), 268 nucleotides long. The record is from Ensembl. NCBI's taxonomy places the organism in Eukaryota, Metazoa, Chordata, Actinopteri, Salmoniformes, Salmonidae.